This 250-nucleotide small RNA is filed under the name Pongo abelii (Sumatran orangutan). RNAcentral's name for it is "Metazoan signal recognition particle RNA (ENSPPYG00000031764.1)". Lineage: Eukaryota; Metazoa; Chordata; Mammalia; Primates; Hominidae. The record is from RNAcentral.
GCUGGGCGUGGUGACGGGCACCUGUAGUCCCAGCCACUCAGGGGGCUGAGGCAGGAGAAUGGCGUGAACCUGAGAGGUGGAGCUUGCAGUGAGCAGAGAUCGCACCAAGGCACCCUAGCCUGGGUGACAGAGCGAGACUCUGUCUCAAAAAAAAAAAGUCUCGCUCUGUCACCCAGGCUGGAGUGCUGUGGCGUGAUCUCUGCUCACUGCAACCUCCACCUCCCAGGUUCAAGUGAUCCUCCUGCCUCAG